Long non-coding RNA from Hipposideros armiger (great roundleaf bat), 1324 nucleotides. RefSeq lists it as uncharacterized. The transcript has 3 exons. NCBI's taxonomy places the organism in Eukaryota, Metazoa, Chordata, Mammalia, Chiroptera, Hipposideridae. The record is from RefSeq and is a predicted model, not a curated record.
AGCAAACGCCUGACCUAGAUCCAUACGAAAUUUAGACCUCGGGAUGCUUGACAGAUAAGGAAAGUUAAUAAUUUGUGAUUGAAGUAUCUUCAAGUAGCCAUUGGUGAGAAGUAUGCAGAUGAAAGUGCUGUUAGAAUUUUAAAAAUUUAUUUGAGAAAGUAUAGCCUUUGGUUAUCUGGGAUAGAAGGGCCGGGGCCGGCAGGAAAACCUUCACACAGCCCAACAAGUAUGAUGAGAAGCUGCCGGGAGCAACUCUUUCUACCUUGGAGCCAUGGAAGGCGAGCGAGGGUACGCCCAGGUGAGGGGGUUUGACGCCAACAUGGUAGACGUUAAUCCUGUCAUAAGACAUCCCAGGUGAGCCACUGGCCGGAAGCACGACGGGAAGCCCCGUCAGCAGGAAGGGUUAGGCCCUGAACGGAGGAGCCAGCACGUAGCGCCUUCCUCGGUGGUGCUUCAUGGGCAGCUGAGGGAACCGAGUCAGGGAGUCCACUGACUGUUUCCCUAAGUUCACAUGUGCAGAUACCGGAGGAAGAAUAUCACCAGAGCGUAUUUUUUUUAAAGCUCCACUGAGCAACUCGAGGGCAGAUCUGCAUGUUCUUCACUUCCGUAUCCCCAGCGCCUCUCCAGGGCUUUUGAGGUGCCAGGCACUAAAUAAAUAUGGACUGAGAGAAAUGACUGCUGUAUAAAAACCACGCAUACAGAUUUGAAUAAGGAUUCUGGAGGUUUGAAUGGGGUUGGGAGAAACUCUAUUUUGAUUCAAAACAUAACCUGUAGCUUAGAUGGUAGUCCCCACGCCCCGGAAGUUCUCCUUCCAGCAAUGGCAGGCACGGAGCCCAACUGCAGAGUUGGUCAAGUUUAUCUUUGAAAACCUUCCCUGUAGGAUUUCUCCAUUUCUAGGCUCAUUCCUGCUUCUUCAAAACAGAACUUACACUAUCAGUAAUUUACAAGUCGCUGUGACUGAGUCACCCUCAAGUAUCACCAGGGUCUUCAGGGAUGUGUCCAGCUCAGCCUUGUUUAGGAGACGCUUUGCUCCACCGUAAGUGCCAUUCCCAGUGAGCAGCUGAUAGGGGGGACCGAGGGCCGAGAGCCCCGCACUCAGGCGCCCGUGCCACUGACUACCCUGGCAUGCUAUGGCUGGGAGCUGGUAGGAGCAGUGUCCAAGGGGUAAGUAAUUUGCAAAGUACUAUAAUGUCAUCAGUUAUUGACUUCUAGGCGAUAUUGGACUCAGCCCUAUGUUCAGUAUUUGCAGACAUUAGCAAAAGUCCUUUCCAUCAAGUUUUCCUUGAGAACUGGCACUAAUUCUAUUUUUUUAGGAGCCCCGAUG